Molecule: ribosomal RNA, 482 nt
Filed under: uncultured bacterium
Lineage: Bacteria
Description: partial 16S ribosomal RNA
Rfam family: Bacterial small subunit ribosomal RNA
Source: RNAcentral
AUUGAACGCUGGCGGCAUGCUUUACACAUGCAAGUCGAACGGCAGCGCGGGGCAACCUGUCGGCGAGUGUCGAACGGGGGCGUAAUAUAUCGGAACGUACCCACUAGUUGGGGAUAACGUAGCGCAAGUUACACUAAUACCGCAUACGAUCUAAGGUUUAAAGUGGGGGAUCUCAAGACCUCAUGCCCCUGGUGCGGCCGAUAUCUGAUUAGUUAGUUGGUGAGGUAAAGGCUCACCAAGGCAACGAUCAGUAGCUGGUCUGAGAGGACGAGCAGCCACACUGGAACUGAGACACGGUCCAGACUCCUACGGGAGGCAGCAGUGGGGAAUUUUGGACAAUGGGCGCAAGCCUGACGCAGCAAUGCCGCGUGAGUGAAGAAGGCCUUCGGGUUGUAAAGCUCUUUUGUUAGGGAAGAAACGGUAGAGGCUAAUAUACUUAGGUAUUGACGGUACCUGAAGAAUAAGCAACGGCUAACUACGUG